RNAcentral lists this small RNA (830 nucleotides) under Drosophila virilis. Its description in RNAcentral is "GJ25886". The record is from RNAcentral. Lineage: Eukaryota; Metazoa; Arthropoda; Insecta; Diptera; Drosophilidae.
AAUCCGGGGGCAAAGAUUUCAACAUAAUUUUUUUUUUUUGGUAUUUUGGGCAAUGCCGGAAUUGACUUGAAAUUGGUUUCUCGAUUGUUUAUGCAUUUUGUGGCGCACAUAACUCGACCGGGACCGACAGAAGUCGAGAGAAAUUCAUAAAUGCCAGAAGAGUGGACGACAAAUAGGCGGCCGCAGUCAAAAGAAGAGACCAUAACAAACGCCGCGCGCGCCAAAACCAAGUGGGGAGCUCUUGGAUAGUUUUUGUUGGACAUCCAAAACUGAUUUCAUUUGCUGUGCACCCGUUGGCCAUUUGACAUGAAUGUGAAUCAGUGUCAGGCAGCCAAAAAUGAUUUGAUUGUCUUUGCAGAUGCAGCCGCUGUGGCAGCUGGGCAUGCAUCAGGCACCCCCGCGUGGCAGGCAUGUUGGCCAAGUUGUUUCAGCCAGCUGCCACUUUCCAAAGCCAGCCAGAGCUGCCUCUGCUGCAGCUCAGCUCGUCGUUAUGGCCCGUUGUCAUAAUCAAAUGCGUUAUCUGGUAGCUAACAGCCGCAUAAUUUCAAGUGGCUCUCAGUGCCCCUCGUUGGGCCUGCUCCAAGUGGAUUUGCGGUUGCCUGGAAAUCAACACGUUGCGCAGCUUCCAGCUCCAACUAUCUGUGUAUGUGUUUGCUUAUGUGUGUGUGAGUGUGCUUGUGUUUGUGUUUGGUUUGCUGCUGGCAUGAUGGUAAUUACGAAUGUGUUGGCUCAAAUGAAGCAGCUCGAAAAAGUGCUCGCAUAUAAUAAUGACAAUAAAGAAAUUAUAACAAUAAUAAACUAAUGGUGGAAAAAAUGGUAUGCGCCCAGCA